Molecule: ribosomal RNA, 278 nt
Filed under: uncultured bacterium
Lineage: Bacteria
Description: partial 16S ribosomal RNA
Rfam family: Bacterial small subunit ribosomal RNA
Source: RNAcentral
CGCUUUCUCCGCCGGCGACCGGCGCACGGGUGAGUAAUACGUAUGCAACCUGCCCCUGUCAGGGGGACAACCCGCCGAAAGGCGGGCUAAACCCGCGUACAUGCCACCGGGGCAUCCCGGAGGCAGGAAAGGCUUCGGCCGGACAGGGAUGGGCAUGCGGCGCAUUAGGCAGUAGGCGGGGUAACGGCCCACCUAACCGACGAUGCGUAGGGGUUCUGAGAGGAAGGUCCCCCACACUGGUACUGAGACACGGACCAGACUCCUACGGGAGGCAGCAG